GACGAACGCUGGCGGCGUGCUUAACACAUGCAAGUCGAACGGAAAGGCCCUGCUUUUGUGGGGUGCUCGAGUGGCGAACGGGUGAGUAACACGUGAGUAACCUGCCCUUGACUUUGGGAUAACUUCAGGAAACUGGGGCUAAUACCGGAUAGGAGCUCCUGCUGCAUGGUGGGGGUUGGAAAGUUUCGGCGGUUGGGGAUGGACUCGCGGCUUAUCAGCUUGUUGGUGGGGUAGUGGCUUACCAAGGCUUUGACGGGUAGCCGGCCUGAGAGGGGGACCGGCCACAUGGGGACUGAGAGAGGGCGCAGACUGCUACGGGAGGCAGCAGUGGGGAAUAUUGCACAGUGGGGGGAAGCGUGAUACAGAGACGCCGGGUGCGGGAUGACGUCCUUCGGGUUGUAAACCGCUUUGGCCUGUGACGAAGCGUGAGUGACGGUAAUGGGUAAAGAAGCACCGGCUAACUACGUG
This 468-nucleotide ribosomal RNA is filed under the name uncultured bacterium. RNAcentral's name for it is "partial 16S ribosomal RNA". It matches the Rfam family "Bacterial small subunit ribosomal RNA", at positions 28 to 507 of the family's 1533-position model. The record is from RNAcentral.